RNAcentral lists this ribosomal RNA (465 nucleotides) under uncultured Klebsiella sp. Its description in RNAcentral is "bacterial SSU rRNA". It matches the Rfam family "Bacterial small subunit ribosomal RNA", at positions 338 to 795 of the family's 1533-position model. Lineage: Bacteria; Pseudomonadati; Pseudomonadota; Gammaproteobacteria; Enterobacterales; Enterobacteriaceae. The record is from RNAcentral.
CCUACGGGCGGCAGCAGUGGGGAAUAUUGCACAAUGGGCGCAAGCCUGAUGCAGCCAUGCCGCGUGUGUGAAGAAGGCCUUCGGGUUGUAAAGCACUUUCAGCGGGGAGGAAGGCGGUGAGGUUAAUAACCUCAUCGAUUGACGUUACCCGCAGAAGAAGCACCGGCUAACUCCGUGCCAGCAGCCGCGGUAAUACGGAGGGUGCAAGCGUUAAUCGGAAUUACUGGGCGUAAAGCGCACGCAGGCGGUCUGUCAAGUCGGAUGUGAAAUCCCCGGGCUUAACCUGGGAACUGCAUUCGAAACUGGCAGGCUAGAGUCUUGUAGAGGGGGGUAGAAUUCCAGGUGUAGCGGUGAAAUGCGUAGAGAUUUGGAGGAAUACCGGUGGCGAAGGCGGCCCCCUGGACAAAGACUGACGCUCAGGUGCGAAAGCGUGGGGAGCAAACAGGAUUAGAUACCCUUGUAGUC